UUCAUUUCUCUGCUUCUUCUUUGAGCGCCGUCACUAACCCACGAUUAUGCUGCUUCUGCUUUCAAACAACCCAGGUUCUGGUUCGCUUACUCCACCGCCGCCGCAACCGCUAGUGGUGCUCUAUCCCUCGAUGUUUCUCAGAGUUUGCUUACUCCACCCCCACGAUUUGCCGGCUUUCAAACAACUCAAGAAACUGCUAUCGGUGUUCGUCAGCGAACUUCGAUUUGCUUAGAGUUCGGUUCCUCCACCCCCACGAUUUUCCGGCUUUCAAACAACUCAGUGAAGCUUAAGGAUCAAUACUGAGGGAUUGGUUUGCAUCUGGAGCUAAGUAAUGCAGUUUCCAGAUUUUGCUUUUGAGGUUCUUCUCCCAACCGCUUUCCUCCGAAUUCCUCCGUUCGCCGACCGCGUUUUUUUUCCCGAACUCCGCCAUUUUUCGCCGGCCUUUUUCUACAGACAAGAAAACAACAUAACUCUAAUGAUUGUGGGUACUAUGUGAUAAAAAAUAUGUUGAUAUUGUCUCUGCCAAUAUAACUGAAUCUUGGAUGUAGGUAUUUGAUGAUCCUACAUAAUUAACAAGAUGAUUUGUAUGAUUUGCGACUCCAUUGGGCAAAAUGUUUCUUUGCGUUAUAUAAAGAUUAAGCUUUAUCUGCAAAUGUAAUUUUGGUGUUGUCUUCAGAAGCUACAACUCAUCUUCUCGUGGAUGCAUGUUGGUAUUUCAAGUGCGCUAAAGGACUUAAAUGGUUGGAUAUUUGUUGUUUUGUUAUUUUGUUGUAGUCCACCGUGUGUAAACUUUCUUAUGAUUUUGUACAUUUGUGUAUCAUAGAUUAAUACUUUUGUAAAUUUUGAAGAAUAUAUAUAUGCACCUUAGCUAUU
Long non-coding RNA from Vicia villosa (hairy vetch), 873 nucleotides. RefSeq lists it as uncharacterized. Lineage: Eukaryota; Viridiplantae; Streptophyta; Magnoliopsida; Fabales; Fabaceae. The record is from RefSeq and is a predicted model, not a curated record. The transcript is spliced from 5 exons.